AUUCAGGUAAUCAAGCAACGUGGGUAGAUGAUAACGAAGACGAGAGGAAGAAAAAAAUGAUAAAGAAAUCUGGUUCAGUAAAGUUCUGUCGCUUUCUGGCAACCCUGCAGUCUCGCCGAGUUCCAGUCGCCCAUAUGGUCUUUCCAGUGAUGACCGCUUCCAGACGUCUUGUGGUUCCAGAACGGGCAACAACGCUCUUCCAGACAAAAUAAAGGAUUUUGACUAAGGAAUAACUCUCAGGGCACUUUUGAACACCACACCGUCUCACAAUGAACAAUCCCCACAAACAAAGCUCGAAGACCAGACUGACAACACCAGGCAGCAGCAGAAGACAGAGGGAGAAACCGAGGAGGAAAAUGAAGGGUUCCAGGUUCGAUCUGGAGGCUUAUCUGGACAAGCUCAAGUGGGACAGACACGUCAAGGCCAAGCGUCGAGUUCCUCCUCAUUGCUCCAAGAACAAAUUCUGCGUCUACUCCAAAGACCCCGU
This is a long non-coding RNA of Macrobrachium nipponense, 487 nucleotides long. RefSeq lists it as uncharacterized. NCBI's taxonomy places the organism in Eukaryota, Metazoa, Arthropoda, Malacostraca, Decapoda, Palaemonidae. The transcript is spliced from 3 exons. The record is from RefSeq and is a predicted model, not a curated record.